RNAcentral lists this unclassified non-coding RNA (205 nucleotides) under Hevea brasiliensis (rubber tree). Lineage: Eukaryota; Viridiplantae; Streptophyta; Magnoliopsida; Malpighiales; Euphorbiaceae. The record is from RNAcentral.
AUGACGUAGAGCGCGAAUAUAAGAUCGACAAGGCGUCACGCCAGGAUUGGGAAGAGUCGUCCAACCGGGCGAUGGACAUUGCCCUUCGGGUCCGUAAGCCGAAGAACUACCCCUUCGACGGCGCGGCCAACAUCAAAUACCCGCUGGUGACGGUCGCAGCGCUUCAAUUCGGCGCGCGCGCCUAUCCGGCCAUCGUUGACGGUUC